Molecule: ribosomal RNA, 468 nt
Filed under: uncultured bacterium
Lineage: Bacteria
Description: partial 16S ribosomal RNA
Rfam family: Bacterial small subunit ribosomal RNA
Source: RNAcentral
GACGAACGCUGGCGGCGUGCUUAACACAUGCCAGUCGAACGGAAAGGCCCUGCUUUUGUGGGGUGCUCGAGUGGCGAACGGGGGAGUAACACGUGAGUAACCUGCCCUUGACUUUGGGAUAACUUCAGGAAACUGGGGCUAAUACCGGAUAGGAGCUCCUGCUGCAUGGUGGGGGUUGGAAAGUUUCGGCGGUUGGGGAUGGACUCGCGGCUUAUCAGCUUGUUGGUGGGGUAGUGGCUUACCAAGGCUUUGACGGGUAGCCGGCCUGAGAGGGUGACCGGCCACAAUGCGACUGAGAUACGGCGCAGACUCCUACGGGAGGCAGCAGUGGGGAGUAUUACACAGUGGGCGGAAGCCUGAUGCAGAAGCGCCGCGUGCGGGAUGCCGGCCUUCGGGUUGUAAACCGCUUUCGCCUGUGACGAAGCGUGAGUGACGGUAAUGGGUAAAGAAGCACCGGCUAACUACGUG